This 422-nucleotide ribosomal RNA is filed under the name uncultured bacterium. RNAcentral describes it as "bacterial SSU rRNA". It matches the Rfam family "Bacterial small subunit ribosomal RNA", at positions 42 to 464 of the family's 1533-position model. The record is from RNAcentral.
UCAGGCCUAACACAUGCAAGUCGAACGGCAGCGCGGGGGCAACCCUGGCGGCGAGUGGCGAACGGGUGAGUAACAUAUCGGAACGUGCCCUGGAGUGGGGGAUAACCAGUCGAAAGACUGGCUAAUACCGCAUACGAUCUACGGAUGAAAGUGGGGGAUCGCAAGACCUCAUGCUCGUGGAGCGGCCGAUAUCUGAUCAGCUAGUUGGUGGGGUAAGAGCCUACCAAGGCGACGAUCAGUAGCUGGUCUGAGAGGACGACCAGCCACACUGGGACUGAGACACGGCCCAGACUCCUACGGGAGGCAGCAGUGGGGAAUUUUGGACAAUGGGGGCAACCCUGAUCCAGCAAUGCCGCGUGUGUGAAGAAGGCCUUCGGGUUGUAAAGCACUUUUGUCAGGAACGAAACGGUGGGGGCUAAUAU